This 179-nucleotide non-coding RNA is filed under the name Syntrophomonadaceae bacterium. RNAcentral's name for it is "6S RNA". It matches the Rfam family "6S / SsrS RNA". Rfam says of the family: E. coli 6S RNA was the first non coding RNA to be sequenced, but its function was unknown until recently. It consists of 184 nucleotides that fold into an extended hairpin structure with a large single-stranded internal bulge. The record is from RNAcentral. Lineage: Bacteria; Bacillati; Bacillota; Clostridia; Eubacteriales; Syntrophomonadaceae.
CUAUCCCUGCUGUGUUCGUGAGAACAGCCGUUCAGUUUUUGCCAACACCAACAACUAGGGAGCUUGGUCUCCACAUGUGGCUGUAUGCCCGGAUAUACCGGGAAACAUUAUACAUGUGGGAGGGCACCCACCUGCGAAGCAGGUUUAAACGACGGUUGCCACGGCUCGGUGGGGUUUUU